RNAcentral lists this ribosomal RNA (406 nucleotides) under uncultured bacterium. RNAcentral describes it as "partial 16S ribosomal RNA". It matches the Rfam family "Bacterial small subunit ribosomal RNA", at positions 29 to 526 of the family's 1533-position model. The record is from RNAcentral.
AUUGAACGCUGGCGGCAGGCCUAACACAUGCAAGUCGAACGAGUGGCGGACGGGUGAGUAAUGGCUGGGAAACUGCCUGAUGGAGGGGGAUAACUACUGGAAACGGUAGCUAAUACCGCAUACCAUCGGAUGUGCCCAGAUGGGAUUAGCCAGUAGGUGGGGUAACGGCUAACCUAGGCGACGAUCCGUAGCUGGUCUGAGAGGAUGACCAGCGACACUGGACCUGAGACACGGUCCAGACGCCUACGGGAGGCAGCAGUGGGGAAUAUUGCACAAUGGGCGCAAGCCUGAUGCAGCCAUGCCGCGUGUAUGACGAAGGCCUUCGGGUUGUAAAGUACUUUCAGCGGGGAGGCGUUACCCGCAGAAGAAGCACCGGCUAACUCCGUGCCAGCAGCAGCGGUAAUAC